RNAcentral lists this ribosomal RNA (1472 nucleotides) under Solanum arcanum. Its description in RNAcentral is "bacterial SSU rRNA". It matches the Rfam family "Bacterial small subunit ribosomal RNA". Lineage: Eukaryota; Viridiplantae; Streptophyta; Magnoliopsida; Solanales; Solanaceae. The record is from RNAcentral.
AGAGUUUGAUGCUGGGUCAGAAGGAACGCUAGUUAUAUGCAUAACACAUGCAAGUUGAACGUUGUUUUCGGGGAGCUGGGCACAAGGAAAAUAGGCUCCUAUCUAAAGGUAGAUUGGCUCGCCCAGAAGGUGAGAAGAGUUGAGAAGAAAGUGGCGAAAGGGUGCGUAACGCGUGGGAAUCUGCCGAACAGUUCGGGCCAAAUCCUGAAGAAAGCUAAAAAGCGCUGUUUGAUGAGCCUGCGUAGUAUUAGGUAGUUGGUCAGGUAAAGGCUCACCAAGCCAAUGAUGCUUCGCUGGUCUUUUUGGAUGAUCAGCCACACUGGGAUUGAGACACGAUCUUGAUGCCCACGGGGGGCAGCAGUGGGGAAUCUUUGACGAUGGGCGAAAGACCGACCAAGCAAUAUCGCAUGAGUGAAGAAGGGAAAUGCCUCUUUUAAAGAUAUUUCGUCGAGUGCGCGAUAAUGACAGUACUCGAGGAAUAAGCCCCGGCUAACUCCAUGCCAGCAGUCGCAAUAAGACGAAGGGCAAGUAUUCUUCGGAAUGAUUGGGCGUAAAGGCCACGUAGGCGGUGAAUCUGUGCUGCAUGGAUAUAGUCAGCUCGUGCCGUGAGAUGUUUGGUAAAGUACUAUAACGAGUGAAACCCUCAUUUUGUGUUGCUGAGACAUGUGCCUAAGGAGAAAGUCUUUGCAACCAAAGUAAGCCGAGGAGACGAGUGACGUGCCAGCUACAAAUAUAGUGCCAGCACCUAGCUGUGCUGUCAGUAAGAAGGUAGCCGGCGCCUUUCGAAGCACUUUCUAUUUCUAGUUAGCGCUAUUUUUUGAUUUCAGGUAGCGCGCUUGACUAAUAAGAUAGAAAGGGCCUUUCUCACUUGUUUAGUAAAGUCAAGUUUUUUGGCCUUAUCUUUCAGGUGACGACGAUGUCGUGUUGACGGCAGAGAAAGACUCGGCAUUCAGGCGAGCCACCCGGUGGUGUGGUACGUAGUGGGUUUAGUACGCCCCUCCCAAACAAAUGGAUUUGAAACAAACAAAAAGGUGUGUGUCGCACUCACGAAGGGCUGCCAGUGAUAUAGUGGAGGAUGGUGGGAAUGAUGUCAAGUCCGCAUGGACCUUAUGGGUUGGGCCACACACGUGCUACAWUGGCAAUUACAAUGGGAAGCAAGGCUAUAAGGCAGAGCGAAUCCGGAAAGAUUGAUUUAGUUAGGAUUGUUCUCUACAACUCGGGAACAUGAAGUUUGAGUCGCUAGUAAUUGCGGAUCAGCAUGCCGCGGUGAAUAUGUACCCUGCCCUUGUACACACCGCCUAUCACACCCUGGGAAUUGGUUUCGCAUGAAGCAUCGGACAAAUGAUCACCCAUGAAUUCUGUGGCAGACUAGUGCCACAAAGUCCUUUAGUAGUAUUAUUGGAACAUACCACGGUGGGGUCUUCGACUGGGGUGAAGUCGUAACAAGGUAUCCGUAGGGGAGCCUAUGGCUG